GCUCUUGAACCCUAAUUCAUUUAUUCCUCUAAUUCUUGUGUUUUUCGGAUUAGAGUUUAUGCUAGAUUUUUGUUGCAAAAGGAGGCCCAAAUCUGCUUGUGCCCUCCGGCUUUUGAUUUGAGUUGUUCAUCUUCAAUCCCGGCAUUUUUCUUUUUUUCGAUUUUCGGGUGAAUUUUGGGCGAAUUUUCGUUCUUCGCGUUUCGACCCAUAUCCGGUGAAAUUUGUUGGGGGAUUUUGUUGCUAGGAUACUUGUGAGCAAUCUUGAUGUGACCCCCCUUCGAAUCCCGCACGGAUUUGGCUUGAAUUUGUGUUUUAACCCGAGUCGUUCUUCAUGGAAAGGUUUCGGUUUUCUCUCAAAUUCGCGUGAUUUACUUGAGCUUUUUCAGAUCUAUCUCGUAGAUCUAUUAGACCUUGUUGAUACGCAUCUGUGGCUCAAAUCUCGCCUUGAUUCAUCAAGUUUUGACAGAGGAACUUUGAUCCGAAGUUUUGUUGUUCUUCACUCGUUCCUCCUGUUCUUGCUCUGCGUUCUCGAUUCUCUUUUCGAUCGUCACAGGAGCACGAACAAGCGGCGCGCGCGUGGGAGGGACACAGGAACAGCGAGGCGCGGCUACGCGAGCGGCAGCGCGGCGGCGGCCAGGCACGCAGCGCUCGCGAGGGCAGCACCCUCGGCAGUUGGCGGCGGCGGCGAGCGCUGCUUCGCGAGGAAGCUGACAGCGCAGCUGUCGCGCUCUGUGGGCCGGAGCAGCGUGCGCGGCCCAGCUCGGCCCAAGGCGCGUGCAAGUGCGACCAGGCGGCCUGCCCAGCACGCAGCAACGGCCCAAGGUGGGGCAGCACGCCAGCAGCUUGUGGCCCAAGCGCAGGUGUAGCUCAAGCACAGCUCGCGCAGCCCAGCCGAGUCUGCACGGCAAAAAGUGCCGGCGGCGCCCAUUGCCUUCGAUCUCCGGCCGGUCGCUGCACUGGCAGAGCCAUGGUCCCAGAGGCGCGAAUGUCCCGCCCUGCCGCCCUCGGGCGCCGGCUGCGAGUCCGUCGCCGCGGCCAAGUUGCGCCGGAAUCUCUCUCGUCGUCGGUGAUGUCGAUGGCCUCAUCCACUUCAGCGGCAUAGCCGGUCGUACGUCGCGACCAAGGCCACCUUGACCAAGCUUAUUUUCUACUGAGAAGUUUUUUGUAGCUUCCAAAAUUUGAGAAAAGUUGAAAAACGUGAAUACUGAAUUGCUCUCUUCUAUUCCCAAUUCCAGUUCUUCAUCUUGGUGCACAUUCACUUUCAAUGUAUCCUUUAAGCUCCAA
Molecule: long non-coding RNA, 1284 nt
Organism: Panicum virgatum (switchgrass)
Lineage: Eukaryota; Viridiplantae; Streptophyta; Magnoliopsida; Poales; Poaceae
Exons: 3
Source: RefSeq, a predicted model, not a curated record